AGUGAACGCUGGCGGUAGGCCUAACACAUGCAAGUCGAACGGCAGCACAGUAAGAGCUUGCUCUUACGGGUGGCGAGUGGCGGACGGGUGAGGAAUACAUCGGAAUCUACUUUUUCGUGGGGGAUAACGUAGGGAAACUUACGCUAAUACCGCAUACGACCUACGGGUGAAAGCAGUGGAUCUUCGGACCUUGCGCGAUUGAAUGAGCCGAUGUCGGAUUAGCUAGUUGGCGGGGUAAAGGCCCACCAAGGCGACGAUCCGUAGCUGGUCUGAGAGGAUGAUCAGCCACACUGGAACUGAGACACGGUCCAGACUCCUACGGGAGGCAGCAGUGGGGAAUAUUGGACAAUGGGCGCAAGCCUGAUCCAGCAAUACCGCGUGGGUGAAGAAGGCCUUCGGGUUGUAAAGCCCUUUUGUUGGGAAAGAAAAGCAGCAGGAUAAUACCCCGCUGUUCUGACGGUACCCAAAGAAUAAGCACCGGCUAACUUCGUG
This 492-nucleotide ribosomal RNA is filed under the name uncultured bacterium. Its description in RNAcentral is "partial 16S ribosomal RNA". It matches the Rfam family "Bacterial small subunit ribosomal RNA", at positions 29 to 507 of the family's 1533-position model. The record is from RNAcentral.